AUGGCCAUGCUGUCCCCAGCUCAUCUCCUCAUUCUUCUUUUCCUCUGUUUCUCUGAUUCUAGGGCAGAAACAACUGUGACCCAGUCUCCAGCAUCUCUGUCCAUGGUUGCAGGAGAAAAAGUCACCAUCAGUUGUAAAACCAGCACAAAUAUUGAUGAUGAUAUGAAUUGGUACCAGCAGAAGCCAGGGGAAGCUCCUAAGCUUCUUAUUUCAGAAGGGAAUACUCUUCGUCCUGGAGUCCCUUCCCGGUUCUCUAGCAGUGGCUAUGGCACAGAUUUUGUGUUUACAAUUGAUAAGAUGCUCUCAGAGGAUGCUGCAACUUACUUCUGUCUGCAAAGUGAUAACUACCCUCUCACAGUGCUAUGUCCUCUUACAAAAACCUGCAGAGGCUGUUGGUGA
Non-coding RNA from Arvicanthis niloticus (Nile rat), 399 nucleotides. Lineage: Eukaryota; Metazoa; Chordata; Mammalia; Rodentia; Muridae. The record is from the annotation of a RefSeq genome assembly.